AAAAUAAUUACAUAAAUUUGUUUUAAGAAUCAAAAACCGAACCGGAACCGUACCAAACCGGAAUCGAAACAACGAAGAACCAAACCAAGACCGUACCAAAAUUUCAGUUCGGUUUCGAUUCCUAGGCAGACCCCAAACCGAACUGGAAUCGCACAUCCAUAGGAAGUCCGCAUGAUGAAUAGCAGUUAAAUGAUGAGUAGCUGAAUGUGGCCUUCUAGACAAGGCAUCAACCAUCUUAUUCUCUAUCCCUCUUCUAUCCAACAUGUUAUAAUCCAUACCCAAAAGCUUGGAUAUACGUAUACCCUUUUGCUGCAGGUUGGUAUAAAGCCUUUGCUCCAAAAGAUGCUUGAUACUUUCAUAAUCAGUUUUGAUAAAGAAGGGACCUUGCUUAAGGUAGUGCCUCCAUUUAGUGACUACAAAAGUGAUUGCCAGCAAUUCCUUAUCAUAUAUAGAAAUACUUUGAUUCCUAACCCUAAAAGCUUUAGAUAUAUAGGCAAUAGGGUGCCCAUUUUACUGCAAUACAGCCUCCAGCCCAUAACUGCUAGCAUCAAUCUCAACUAUAAAGGGUUGAGCAAAAUUCGGUAAUGCCAAAAUAGGGGCAGAAGACAUAGCAGUCUUUAAGGAAUUAAAGGCUUGUUAAGUCUCAUCAUUCCACUGAAAACUAUCUUCCUUCAACAAAUUUGUAAGAGGUUUAUUGAUCUCCUAUCAACCCAAAAAUUUCUAUAUUCCUUAACAGAAGUAGGAUUAGGCCAAGAUACCGUAGCCUUAAUUUUCUUAGGAUUUGUA
This 786-nucleotide unclassified non-coding RNA is filed under the name Hevea brasiliensis (rubber tree). Lineage: Eukaryota; Viridiplantae; Streptophyta; Magnoliopsida; Malpighiales; Euphorbiaceae. The record is from RNAcentral.